Molecule: long non-coding RNA, 1651 nt
Organism: Bos taurus (domestic cattle)
Lineage: Eukaryota; Metazoa; Chordata; Mammalia; Artiodactyla; Bovidae
Source: Ensembl
UAUGGGGCACUUUUAAAUGGACGGAUCAAGCUGGCAGUGCCUGGAUUCACUCGCCAAUCCUAGUAUCACAAAAGAUGAGACAAGCAGACACCACGUGAUGCUGAUGCGACGCAGUCGGAGGUUCACAGCACCAGCUAUAGAGUAUCCUUGUCAAAAAAUGGACCCUGAGAUAGUUAUGGACUUUGGGAAGGCAUGUUCAUUACCACUAGUGCCACCUAGGAAGCUCUGUGUUGCCUGCUGCCGCUGCUGCUAAGUCGCUUCAGUCGUGUCCGUCUCUGUGCGACCCCAUAGACGGCAGCCCAACAGGCUCCCCCGCCCCUGGGAUUCUCCAGGCAAGAACACUGGAGUGGGUUGCCAUUUCCUUCUCCAAUGCAUGAAAGUGAAAAGGGAAAGUGAAGUCGCUCAGUCGUGUCUGACUCAACGACCCCAUGGACUGCAGCCCACCAGGCUCCUCCAUCCAUGGGAUUUUCCAGACUCAUAGAAUGUUAUCCAGGAUGGGAGGGAGGAGACCAGAGAAAGAGAUACACAAGGAGAAGCAUGCUCCUCAGGCUCCAUGUGCACUCGAACCAUGUGGGCAUCCUGGCUUCCCUGGCGGCUCAGUCGGUAACGAAUCCACCUGCAAGAUGCUUCCCUGGUCAUUCAGCAGUGAAGAAUCUGCCUGCCAAGGAAGAGACGUGGGUUUGUUCCCUGGGUCAGGAAUUUUUCCUGGAGAAGGAAACGGACAAGCCACACCAGUAUUCUUGCCUGAGAAAUCCCAUAGUCAGAGGACCUGCUGGGCUGUAGUCCAUGGGGUUUCCAAGAGUCGAACACGAUUGGGUGACUGAGCACUCUGCACGAGGCUGCUGCUUUCAUUGGCAGCAAGGCCACUGAAGCCAGGCAGCCCGGGAUUCGAACACUGAUCUGCAGUUUGACUCCUGUUUGAAGCCUGUUUGACUCCAGGCUUUGAUGCUGAAUUUCCAUAUCUGUACGAGGUUAUAAAAGUUUGCUGAAUGGCUACGUGUGUGGAGAUGGCAGUAAAGAUAUUUCCAGAAGUCCUCUUAGGGAGGAGUUUUAACAUUUUCUGCUUUGAAAAUCCCACUAGGGUUAGGGGCAGGAGUAGGCCUCUAAAGAGCCUCCCUGCGUAAUACUAGACUGCUGUGAACUAGAGUUGCAGGGAGCUUCAUCUUUUAAACAGUCGGGCAUUUUACUUUGCAGAGCACAGAAAUGAGCAGGAUACCGAGCUGCUUCGUAUGGACAAGACUGGUGGUUAAUUUCUCAACAACAACUCUCCCUCCCCUUUGUCCUUACUGCCAGAACCGUCUUUCCAACUCUAGAGGCUAAAAACACCAGUAUUAGUUACUACAAGCCUGUGACUCAACCCUGGUGGAUGAGUUUAAAGAUAAAUCUUCUGAGAUAUUUCUGGGAAACGUUUUCUCUUCUGAUUUAGGGUGGGAGGCAGGGGAUGUGGUGAGAAAUGCCACUUUUUCUGCGUGUACGUGUAGUUAUGUGCAGGUAGAAUUCCUCCAGCCAUGGCAGCCAUCUUGUGACCACGGGCAACAACUCUGAGGAUGAAAACUUACAUUCUGUGAAUGGCAAAGGAAAACGGCAGGAAGCCCCUGGGCUGGUGCUUGAUGACAUCGUUGUGCUUCUGAAUUAACCAAAGCUAGAAAUG